This is a small nucleolar RNA of Platichthys flesus (European flounder), 68 nucleotides long. RefSeq annotates it as small nucleolar RNA SNORD58. Lineage: Eukaryota; Metazoa; Chordata; Actinopteri; Pleuronectiformes; Pleuronectidae. The transcript has a single exon. The record is from RefSeq and is a predicted model, not a curated record.
UUGCGAUGACGACACUUAGGACACCUUUGGAUGAACCAUGAAAAGAACUUUGAGAAUAUCUGAGCAAU